AUAUAUAUAUGUAACAACUCAUGAGUAAUUCGCAGCACCUUUAUAAAGCUCCCCUUUAUCACGAUUCUCUUCAAUGCAAAUCUUCGCGAAGCUAACGGCAAUGGAUCGCGCAAUGUGGGGGGAUACAAGUGACAAGGUAAUGGCGACAUUCGUGUAAUUUAGCGUCUAUUACGCUUAAUACUGAACAAAGAUGAAUGGCAGCUCUUAUUUUGAAACGAAUUGAAAGUCACGUUAGAACACGAGAAUAAUUCCGUGGAAUGAAAUGGGAAGCGACCGUAAGGAGACAAAGUGACCGUGCACAGUCUCAAUCUAGAGGGCGUGUUAACGUUAGAAUUGCCAACCUAUGAUAUGUACCUAAGUAUAUUACACAUAUGAUUGUGAAAAUAACUAGAUAUAGGAUAUCUAGGAUAUUCCAU
This is a long non-coding RNA of Apis florea (little honeybee), 416 nucleotides long. Lineage: Eukaryota; Metazoa; Arthropoda; Insecta; Hymenoptera; Apidae. The record is from RefSeq and is a predicted model, not a curated record.